AGAAAUAUGUCUGAUAAAAGAGUUACUUUGAUAGAGUAAAUUAUAGAGGUUCAAUUCCUCUUAUUUCUA
RNAcentral lists this transfer RNA (69 nucleotides) under Serengetimys pernanus (dwarf multimammate mouse). RNAcentral describes it as "tRNA-Ile". It matches the Rfam family "tRNA". From Rfam's summary of the family: Transfer RNA (tRNA) molecules are approximately 80 nucleotides in length. Their secondary structure includes four short double-helical elements and three loops (D, anti-codon, and T loops). Further hydrogen bonds mediate the characteristic L-shaped molecular structure. tRNAs have two regions of fundamental functional importance: the anti-codon, which is responsible for specific mRNA codon recognition, and the 3' end, to which the tRNAs corresponding amino acid is attached (by aminoacyl-tRNA synthetases). tRNAs cope with the degeneracy of the genetic code in two manners: having more than one tRNA (with a specific anti-codon) for a particular amino acid; and 'wobble' base-pairing, i.e. permitting non-standard base-pairing at the 3rd anti-codon position. Lineage: Eukaryota; Metazoa; Chordata; Mammalia; Rodentia; Muridae. The record is from RNAcentral.